UACGGAGGGAGCUAGCGUUGUUCGGAAUUACUGGGCGUAAAGCGCACGUAGGCGGCUUUGUAAGUUAGAGGUGAAAGCCUGGGGCUCAACCCCAGAAUUGCCUUUAAGACUGCAUCGCUUGAAUCCAGGAGAGGUGAGUGGAAUUCCGAGUGUAGAGGUGAAAUUCGUAGAUAUUCGGAAGAACACCAGUGGCGAAGGCGGCUCACUGGACGAUUGUUGACGCUGAGGUGCGAAAGCGUGGGGAGCAAACAGG
Molecule: ribosomal RNA, 253 nt
Filed under: uncultured bacterium
Lineage: Bacteria
Description: partial 16S ribosomal RNA
Rfam family: Bacterial small subunit ribosomal RNA
Source: RNAcentral